GAGAGAGAGAGAGAGAGAGAGAGAGAGAGAGAGAGAGAGGAGUAUCUCAGUUCUCUUUUAGCUGUGAGAGGCAAGGAUCGCGGUGGUGAUUGUAAGGUUGAGAGAGACACGCGGCAACCACCACCACCAUCACCACCACCACCACCACCACCACCAUCACCACCACCACCAUUACUACUACCAUUACUUCUACUACUAUUUUUGUUACUUCAGCUACUAUUACUACUGACACUAUUUUCAUUUAUAUUCUACAACUAUUACAUCUAUAAAUACUACAAUUUCCACUACCACCACUACUACUACUACUACUACUACUACUACUACUACUACUACUACUGCUACUACUACUACUCUUACCAUUCUCAUUUAUAAUCUACAAGAAAACUAACACCAAAUACAAUAACAAGAAGAAGAACAACAACAACAACAACAACUACAACUACUACUACUACUACUACUACUACUACUACUACUACUACUACUACUACUGCCAACAUAUAAGAUCAAGUGAGAGAAAGGAAGGAGGAAGAAGGAAGGAGAAGAAGAGCGGAAGGAGGAAGAUGAUGAUGAAGGGGAAUUAGAGCGAGAAAGAAUAAGUAGGAAGGAAGGAAGAUCAGGGAGAGGGAAGUGCGACAAAAGUGGGAAUAAAUGCAAGGAAUAAGAAGAAAAUGAAAGAAAUGUGGGAUAAAUGGAAAUAAAGAAAAAAAAGAAAAGGAAAAAAAUAGUAAUAAAUAUGAAAUAAGGAAAAAUAGAAGGAAAAGUUGGAAUAUAGGAAAAUAAUGCAAAUGUUUAUAAGAAGGUAAGGAAAAAAAUAACGAAGUGAUAAAUAAACAGGAAAAAAAUACGUGGUGGGGAAAAAAAUGGAAAAUGAAAACAAGGAAAAUAUCUGAGAAAAAGUGAGGAAAACAAGAAUAAUUACUGAUGGUGGAAAAAGAAAAAUUAAGGGAAAAUAGACAACAAUAAAUAAUGAGGUAAGGUAAACAAGGUGACAGGAAAAGAAAAAUAAUAAAAAAAAUAAAUAAACAAGGAAAAUUGAAAGAAAAGGUGGAAAAAAAGAAAAAAUAAAUAAACCAAGUGUGAACAGGAAAAGUAAGGAAAAAGAUAGAAAAAUAAUAAAGAAAACAAGUGAAAAAAAAUAAAAAUCGUGGUGAGAGAAAAAAGAGAAAAAGCAAAGUGAAAAAUAUAGGAAAAUAAUGAAUAAAUAUUGACCGGAAAA
Molecule: long non-coding RNA, 1216 nt
Organism: Scylla paramamosain (green mud crab)
Lineage: Eukaryota; Metazoa; Arthropoda; Malacostraca; Decapoda; Portunidae
Exons: 2
Source: RefSeq, a predicted model, not a curated record